UCCCUGGUGGUCCAGUGGCUAAGAUGCUACACUCUCAAUGCAGGGAGCCCAGGUUCGAUCCCUAGUCAGGGAA
Capra hircus (goat) is the source of this 73-nucleotide non-coding RNA. The record is from the annotation of a RefSeq genome assembly. Lineage: Eukaryota; Metazoa; Chordata; Mammalia; Artiodactyla; Bovidae.